This 252-nucleotide ribosomal RNA is filed under the name uncultured bacterium. RNAcentral describes it as "partial 16S ribosomal RNA". It matches the Rfam family "Bacterial small subunit ribosomal RNA", at positions 524 to 776 of the family's 1533-position model. The record is from RNAcentral.
UACGGAGGAUGCGAGCGUUAUCCGGAUUUAUUGGGUUUAAAGGGUGCGCAGGCGGCACGGCAAGCCGGCGGUCAAAUCGCGGGGCUCAACCCCGCCCAGCCGUCGGAACUGCCGGGCUAGAGUGGGCGAGAAGUGCGCGGAAUGUGUGGUGUAGCGGUGAAAUGCAUAGAUAUCACGCAGGACUCCGAUUGCGAAGGCAGCGCACCGGCGCCCUACUGACGCUCAGGCACGAAAGCGUGGGUAUCGAACAGG